This 65-nucleotide transfer RNA is filed under the name Squilla biformis. RNAcentral describes it as "tRNA-Ala". Lineage: Eukaryota; Metazoa; Arthropoda; Malacostraca; Stomatopoda; Squillidae. The record is from RNAcentral.
AGGAUAAUAGUCAAAUAUGAUACCUAACUUGCACUUAGGAGGUGUUACAAAGCUAACUUAUCUUA